RNAcentral lists this unclassified non-coding RNA (229 nucleotides) under Hevea brasiliensis (rubber tree). Lineage: Eukaryota; Viridiplantae; Streptophyta; Magnoliopsida; Malpighiales; Euphorbiaceae. The record is from RNAcentral.
GGAAAGAAAUUAAUCGCUUGAGUAUGUUUUUGCAAAUGCAUGCACAUGCAUGCCUCAACAUUUGAUUGCAGAAACAUACUCAAGCGAUUAAUUUCUUUCCNNNNNNNNNNGAAGAAAGUUUCCCUCCCUUAAAGAACAAAAAGAAUGACAAAAAAGAUAUAGAGGACCUAAGAAACUAAUCAAAUAUUAUUGUUUUAAAGAGUUGACCCUGAAUGAGCCAUAUACAAAG